RNAcentral lists this small nuclear RNA (101 nucleotides) under Rhinolophus ferrumequinum (greater horseshoe bat). The record is from RNAcentral. Lineage: Eukaryota; Metazoa; Chordata; Mammalia; Chiroptera; Rhinolophidae.
GUGCUCACGUUUGCAGCACAUCUACUAAAAUUGGAAGGAUGCAGCAAAGAUUAGCAUGACACCCGGGUAACACACUAAUUUGUGAAUCAUUCCACAUUUUU